Long non-coding RNA from Nicotiana attenuata, 517 nucleotides. RefSeq lists it as uncharacterized. The record is from RefSeq and is a predicted model, not a curated record. The transcript has 3 exons. Lineage: Eukaryota; Viridiplantae; Streptophyta; Magnoliopsida; Solanales; Solanaceae.
UCCUACUCGGUUUCAUAAUACUGGAAUGAUCUUGUAUGUGAACUAUAAUAUUUUUCCCGGCAGUUGCUGAGAAUUUUGAAGCCACAAAUGGGCGAUUUCUAGGAGAAUUGUAUGAUGCUGAUAUUGAAAAUAUUAAGACAUUCAAAGAUUAGUUCUGUGCUAAACAGCAUUUUGCUCCUGAUUCAAUCCCUGAUGCUAUUAUCCCAAAAUUAGUGGGAGGUACUACUUGUGAUAUCUUUUCCAUAGUAGGAGCUAUUAUGGCACAGGAUUUCAUACACUAUAACACUGGAGGAAAGCCAAUUAAAAAUUUCUUCUUGUAUGAUGGAGGGGCAGCUGAAGGGAUGGUAACUGAGAUUGGGCGCUGAGCUUGUGAAGGACUUAUGAUUUCCUUAAUUCUUUUGGUAAUUGCAUAUAGUUGGAUUGCUACCUAAAUUCUUUUUGGAUGGUAACUGAGCUUAGGUGUUGAUGAGCUUGUGAAGGACCUACGAGUUCCUUAAUUCUUUUGGUAAUUGUAUAU